AUACGGAGGGUGCGAGCGUUAGCCGGAUUUAUUGGGUUUAAAGGGUGCGCAGGCGGACCUGUCAGUCAGUGGUGAAAUCCCGGGGCUCAACCCCGGAACUGCCAUUGAUACUACAGGUCUUGAAUACGGUUGAAGUAGGCGGAAUGUAGCAUGUAGCGGUGAAAUGCAUAGAUAUGCUACAGAACACCGAUCGCGAAGGCAGCUUACUAAGCCGAUAUUGACGCUCAGGCACGAAAGCGUGGGGAGCGAACAGGAUUAGAUACCCCAGUAGUCC
Molecule: ribosomal RNA, 274 nt
Filed under: uncultured bacterium
Lineage: Bacteria
Description: partial 16S ribosomal RNA
Rfam family: Bacterial small subunit ribosomal RNA
Source: RNAcentral